AGACUUUCUUCAGGGAGGCACACGUAUAACCGCCACUCCCCGUCACCUUGAUGCCCUCCAUCGCCGCCCUCGCGCGCACGCUGCACGGCGGCACCAACGUGUACAGGUCCCGCCUAGACUGCCUCAAGGUACUGCACGCCGUGGAACAGCCGCCGCCGCCGUGGUGGACGCCAGACUGCUCCGACUUUGUUCGCCAGGCAGAGUCGCUGAGCACGUCGGCGAGUUCCACUGCUGCCCGCAAAAACCCUGUCGUCGUUGUGGAGGGUUUGGAUGGCACUGGAAAGACACUCGUCACGCGCACGCUGGCGGAGAAGCUGUCGGGGGUGGCAAUAAGCACACCGCCGCCGCAGUUUGCCGAAAUCCGGAGCACCUUCCGAGGCCAGGAGGAGGCCGUGGCGAGAGCCUUCUACUCCGCUGCCAACUACAUCGCGGCCGCGAGCAUCCUGGCAGCGUCGCAGUCGUCAGUGGUCGUGGUCGACAGGUGGUGGUGCUCCACAUGCGCUAUGGCGCUGGCGAACGGUUGCUGCUAUGACAGUUUGCCGCCCAGCGGCGAUGCGGUGUACCGCUGGCCAGAAGACUUGCCAGCGCCGGAUGCCGGGUUUUUGCUGUGCGUCGAUGAGGCGGUGCGGGUGGCGCGUAUCCGCAGGCGUGCUCCUGAGGACGCAGAGGAGCGGCGCCUCUCUUCGCAGAGUGAGAUGCGCCGCGUCGCGAUGGAGGCGUACCGCCGCACCAAUAUGCUGACAGAGGUAGCCGCGCCGUCGUAUCGCGUUGCUGUGAACUCCAUCUUGCGACUCCUGUCUGAGAGCGGUGUGGCGCAUGGCGCCGCGCCCUUUGCGCAGGCGGAGCUCGAUAGCAUCGAGCCGUUUUAGGAGCCCGUUCCUGAGGCUGAGGAGAGGGGUGCGGGCUUGGUGUUUGCUCUUCCGCGUGUCCGUUUUCGCUGCCGCACACUGCGAGGUGGAGGCCGCUCUGCACCCCCCCGCCGCCGAGUGCUGCAGGCACCCCACCCCACUCUCAUCGCCUGGUGCGAAGCAGCGCAAGACACACGCGCGCUGCAGCAGUGCGCCGGCUCGGUCAUCGCAGCACGGCUCGUGCCUCAAACGCGACGACACCCACAUACACACACAUCGCCCCACAGCCGCCCCUCCAUCAUGCCGGUCGCCACUCCCCCCACCUCCUCCCUGGGUGCGUCUCCCCGUCGCGGUGACACUCAGGCCCCCGCACCCCUCGCCGUGGGCCAGUGUGAGGGGCCGGCUGCGACACGCUCGAGCCGCGCUGACACGCUCCGCCCAUCGCAUGGACGGUGCAAGCCUGUGCUCACUGUCGCGGGUGGCUCGGACGCAGCGCCAUGCACGACAUGGCCGCCGGCAUCCGUGGCGCUACGUCGCGCCGACCUCGCCCAACGCCGUAAGGGCCCAGCCCUGUCAGCACCAGAAGUGGUUCGGCGUUGGCAGGGAUAGAGGGUGAGGGGGCUGCCGGGCUUCCGCACACAGAGAGAGCGGGGGUGGAGGGGGGGCGCUGGACCCUGGGAUGCCACGCAUGGAGGUGCGUGCCCCCCGCCUCCCCCGCCAUCACGUGGAGGUGAAAGGGCGAGAGGUAACCAUGUGAGGAGGAACACUACGCCGCGGUUGUGCCCUGUGCGUGUGUGUCCACGUUGUCUUUCUCGUUAUGCGAGGACGACGUGACGGUGCUUCCCAAUUCCAUGCUCCUCACAGCAUCGCCUGUAGCUGCUCGCGUUCUUUGGCUUUCGCUCUCCCUCGGCGGAUCGGACGACGCCCCUGCCGGCACCUGCUGCUGUGCAAGCAGCAAGGCGGACUUUGACCCCUCCUUUAUCGGCCGCCCCCUCCCCGCGUCUUCCACACAACUUCCAUUGCAGAGGCAUCACAGAGUCUGACGUAAGGUAGAUGUGAACGACAGCGUGCACAAGAAGAGAG
RNAcentral lists this unclassified non-coding RNA (1931 nucleotides) under Leishmania donovani. RNAcentral's name for it is "gene:LdHU3.01.0110(CDS-product:UMP-CMP_kinase_mit ochondrial_putative)". The record is from RNAcentral. Lineage: Eukaryota; Euglenozoa; Kinetoplastea; Trypanosomatida; Trypanosomatidae.